This is an RNA transcript of Panthera uncia (snow leopard), 2475 nucleotides long. It is a transcript of the gene named RNA-binding protein 4B, with no coding region annotated. The record is from RefSeq and is a predicted model, not a curated record. NCBI's taxonomy places the organism in Eukaryota, Metazoa, Chordata, Mammalia, Carnivora, Felidae. The transcript has 5 exons.
AGCGAGAUAACCCUUUGUCAUCAGCUACCCGCCCCCACCCCCCAAUAGCACGACCCAUUGUGAUGAUUAGCGACAUCCGAGGCUUCCGAUCACACCAAGGCAAUGGUUGCGUCCGGAGCCCUUCUGACGCUUGAGCUCCGACCCUCCCCCAACCCCGCUUCCAAGGUACUGAUUGGCUAGCCGGGGCUGGGGGCGGACUGACUUCCGCUCCGCAGCGACGUCACCAGUUGGCCCCGCCCUCGUGUCAGGGCGGCUGGGAGCCUAGCCCGAGGCAGCCAUUUGUAUGCGGCUGCGGGAUUGGCCGCCCGGCUCCCGCGAGGGGGAGGGGAAGGAGGCAGAGCGCACUCGCGCGUGCGUGAGCUGGCGCGCGAGAAAGGGCCCGGUCGCGCCGAGGCUCGAGCGGCCGUCGCCAUUUUGUAGGGUUCUCUCUGACGCUGGAGCCGCCGCCACCGCCGCCGCCACCCGGAGGCUCUUGUCAGGAUGGUGAAGCUGUUCAUCGGAAAUCUGCCCCGGGAGGCCACAGAGCAGGAGAUCCGCUCACUCUUCGAGCAGUAUGGGAAGGUGCUGGAAUGUGACAUCAUUAAGAACUACGGCUUUGUGCACAUAGAGGACAAGACGGCGGCCGAGGAUGCCAUACGCAACCUGCACCACUACAAGCUGCAUGGGGUGAACAUCAAUGUGGAAGCCAGCAAGAAUAAGAGCAAAGCCUCCACCAAGUUGCAUGUGGGCAACAUCAGUCCCACUUGUACCAACCAAGAGCUUCGCGCCAAGUUUGAGGAGUAUGGUCCAGUCAUCGAAUGUGACAUCGUGAAAGAUUAUGCCUUCGUGCACAUGGAGCGGGCAGAGGAUGCAGUGGAGGCCAUCAGGGGUCUUGACAACACAGAGUUUCAAGGCAAAAGAAUGCACGUGCAGUUGUCCACCAGCCGGCUUCGGACUGCCCCUGGGAUGGGAGACCAGAGUGGCUGCUAUCGGUGUGGGAAAGAGGGGCACUGGUCAAAAGAGUGUCCAGUAGAUCGUACAGGCCGUGUGGCGGACUUUACCGAGCAGUAUAAUGAACAGUAUGGAGCAGUGCGCACGCCUUACACCAUGGGCUACGGGGAAUCCAUGUAUUACAACGACGCAUAUGGAGCACUCGACUACUAUAAGCGUUAUCGGGUCCGCUCUUACGAGGCAGUGGCAGCGGCGGCAGCAGCUUCUGCGUACAACUACGCGGAGCAGACCAUGUCCCAUCUGCCUCAAGUCCAGAGCACAGCUGUGACCAGUCACCUCAACUCCACUUCUGUCGAUCCCUACGACAGACACCUGUUGCCGAACUCAGGUGCUGCCGCCACUUCGGCUGCUAUGGCUGCUGCUGCCGCCAACAGUUCCUCCUAUUAUGGAAGGGACCGGAGCCCCCUGCGUCGUGCUGCAGCUGUGCUCCCCACAGUUGGAGAGGGCUACGGUUAUGGGCCAGAGAGUGAGCUGUCUCAGGCUUCAGCAGCUGCACGGAAUUCUCUGUAUGACAUGGCCCGGUAUGAGCGAGAGCAGUAUGUGGACCGAGCGCGGUACUCAGCCUUUUAAAAACUGGAGGUGUGAACCUCAAAUGGACUGAAUAACCCUGAGUUGGUUGCAGUCCCAGGAGCCUGAUGUUAAUGAGGCUGCCAGGAUGAAAUACUCCAGAACUGUUGGGGAUCUGAAUUUGGGUCUCACCCUAGCAGAACUGAUUCAAGAACGUCACAACUUUUGAAGUCGGUUGGUACAGAUCAAGACCAAGAUUUGGCCCUUUGUCUGUAAUAAGUAGAGGAACUUGGUGACGGGACCAGGGCCCUUGUGCUCGGAGCCAAGCUGCUCUCCAGGCAUUGUGUAAGCCUCUUGUGUUGUGCUCUCUUUCAGGUAGGAUAAUUGCGGACUGAACCCUCGGGCUGCGGUCAUAUAUGAGAACUUGCUCCGCGCGGUCCCCUUUGCCGGGAUGUUUCCAUUGCUUCAUGUUUCAGUAAACAAAGGAGUUUGUGACCAACUAUGUUUUCUUUCUUAAUUUAAUUCUUCUAAGUUGACUUUUCUUUCCUCCUGAUACUAGUCUCUGUAGCCUUUCACUCUAUUCCUUAUAUUCUCAGCCUCUGAGCAGCCCUAGGUAAGGAUUAUGCUGGCAUCCCCUUUUUCCUGUACAGUGGAACCCCUCUUAUCUUGCUUUCCUUAGGAGUUGAACCCUUCUCCCUGUCUACCUGCAACAUCUCCUUUCCCUUUAAAAUGACCAUGUAGUGGCAAGCGACCUUUUACUCUUCUCUGUUAGCUCUGGACUCUAACAUUGAAGCUAAUCUUCUGAAACUGCUAGGACCAUUGGGGUUUUGGGGGAGGGGGGUUGUUUUGUUUGUUUUGUUUUUUUAUGUCUGACCUGUGAUCGUGGUACAGCAUUAGCUGAAAUUUAGCCUUGUUUUAUUCCACUCCUCCCACUUUUUUUUUUUAAUAUUUUGACAAAUAAACGUUUCUAACACUUAA